This is a long non-coding RNA of Ctenopharyngodon idella (grass carp), 1505 nucleotides long. RefSeq lists it as uncharacterized. The transcript is spliced from 3 exons. NCBI's taxonomy places the organism in Eukaryota, Metazoa, Chordata, Actinopteri, Cypriniformes, Xenocyprididae. The record is from RefSeq and is a predicted model, not a curated record.
UGUACAUUAUCUUAGGACCUUUAUUACAAACAAAACAGGUGAUAGAAAGAUCAUAUUAUUUUGUCUAUAUAAUACAACUAGGAUAAAAAAUAAGAUUUGAGUAUGAGAUUUUUUUUUUUUUUUUUCUUAAUGACUCGAGACUCUACUUGGACUCGUGACAAAAGACUCCAGGCUUGACUCAGACUCCAGAUAAAAGACUUGUAACCAUCUCUGCUCCGUAAUUUUAGCCUAAAUGACGUCAUGUUCUUGUUCUGUGGCAGAUGCGACAAUCAUGUUAUCAGCAACCUUCUAUGUCACCGAACACUUCAUUAUUGUACUGCUGGAAAACUUCACUAGCAGACUUGACACCAACUGGCAGACGUUUGAAUCUGUAUCUACCACAUGGUGUGUUGAAUGUGCAUAGCAGGGAGGAGUCUGCGUCAAGUUUGAUUUGCCAAUAGCCAUCCAUUUCAUCGAAGAUGGAGAAAUUUUUUUUUUUCCAGCAAGCUUACACAGUACAUCUUCGAUUGUUGGGAUUGAGAAGUGUUGGCGAAGAGCAGCUUUAUUUAGGUCACGAGGAUCCAGGCAUACUCGUAAUGACCCAUUCUUUUUUUCAGUGAUGACAAGGCUGUUAACCCAUGGAGUGGGCUGGGUGACUGGUGUUAUAACAUCUGCUUGCAACAGCUGAUCCAGUGUGUCCUUCAGUUUGCCCAGCACUGCUAAGGGAAUCUUUCUACAGCCAUGUAUGACCAGGAUUGCUUUCGGAUCGACAUGUUUAUGAUGUUCACCCGGAAACUGACAGAGUCCUUCAAAAACUGUUGGAUUUUGUGCUAUCAGCUCCUUUUUGGAGACAUGCACAUUAAGGCGAAAUGAUUAUGACAUGUAGCUCCAAAGGCUGGACACUGUCAUGGAAGGUGACUAGAGAGUACAUCAGUUUUAGUUUGGAUCCAGCCUCUUAAGAAGACCUCAGAUGACCAACACUUUUGAAGAGACCGCGCCAACUCCUGCGAGGACUUCAGAAGAUGCAACAUCUGGAUCAACACGCACAUUCGCAAAUUUCUAUAUAUCCUAAUUAUUGUUAAUAUGUAAUUCAUUUUUCCAGGAGCUCUUUGCUUCUACCUUCAAUUAAAUUGCUAACAGUGAUUGUAAAUUAAUUGCCUAAAUUAUUACAUUAUUAGCUAACUGCAUUCUCCAAAUUGUAAUGUUGACAUGCAUUCUCUGUAAAGCUGCUUUGAAACGAUAUGUACUGUGAAAAGCGCUAUACAAAUAAAUGUGAAUUGAAUUGAAUUGAAUUGAAAAUAAGACUCUGGUCUGAUGAGACCAAGAUAUAACUUUUUGGCCUUAAUUCUAAGCGGUAUGUGUGGAGAAAACCAGGCACUGCUCAUCACCUGUCCAAUACAGUCCCAAAAGUGAAGCAUGGUGGUGGCAGCAUCAUGCUGUGGGGGUGUUUUUCAGCUGCAGGGACAGGAUGACUGGUUGCAAUCGAGGGACAGAUGAAUGUGGCCAAGUACAGGGAUAUCCUGGAC